Molecule: ribosomal RNA, 544 nt
Filed under: uncultured Lachnospiraceae bacterium
Lineage: Bacteria; Bacillati; Bacillota; Clostridia; Lachnospirales; Lachnospiraceae
Description: bacterial SSU rRNA
Rfam family: Bacterial small subunit ribosomal RNA
Source: RNAcentral
UAACAACCAGAAAUGGUUGCUAAUACCGCAUAAGCGCACAGGACCGCAUGGUCCGGUGUGAAAAACUCCGGUGGUAUAAGAUGGACCCGCGUUGGAUUAGCUAGUUGGCAGGGUAACGGCCUACCAAGGCGACGAUCCAUAGCCGGCCUGAGAGGGUGAACGGCCACAUUGGGACUGAGACACGGCCCAGACUCCUACGGGAGGCAGCAGUGGGGAAUAUUGCACAAUGGGGGAAACCCUGAUGCAGCGACGCCGCGUGAAGGAAGAAGUAUCUCGGUAUGUAAACUUCUAUCAGCAGGGAAGAUAGUGACGGUACCUGACUAAGAAGCCCCGGCUAACUACGUGCCAGCAGCCGCGGUAAUACGUAGGGGGCAAGCGUUAUCCGGAUUUACUGGGUGUAAAGGGAGCGUAGACGGACUGGCAAGUCUGAUGUGAAAGGCGGGGGCUCAACCCCUGGACUGCAUUGGAAACUGUUAGUCUUGAGUGCCGGAGAGGUAAGCGGAAUUCCUAGUGUAGCGGUGAAAUGCGUAGAUAUUAGGAGGAA